GCCAGGGUGGCGAAAUUGGCAAACGCAUACGGCUUAGGACCGUACGGGGAAACCCUUGGAGGUUCAAGUCCUCUCUCUGGCA
RNAcentral lists this transfer RNA (82 nucleotides) under Elusimicrobia bacterium RIFOXYD2_FULL_34_15. RNAcentral describes it as "tRNA-Leu". It matches the Rfam family "tRNA". Rfam says of the family: Transfer RNA (tRNA) molecules are approximately 80 nucleotides in length. Lineage: Bacteria; Pseudomonadati; Elusimicrobiota. The record is from RNAcentral.